AUAAUACUCCAUAGAUUAGAGACACUGGAAUGUUCUUUAGUCGAAAGUUCUGGCGCCUUAGGAUGGAUCUGCGGUCGAUUAGGUUGUUGUUGGGGUAACGGCCCAACAAGCCUGUAAUCGAUACGGGUUGUGGGAGCAAGAGCCCGGAGAUGGAAUCUGAGACACGAUUCCAGGCCCUACGGGGCGCAGCAGGCGCGAAAACUUUACAAUGCAGGAAACUGUGAUAAGGGAACUCCGAGUGCCCGUAUACGCGGGCUGUCCAGGUGUUUAAAAAUCAUCUGAAGAAAGGGCCGGGCAAGACCGGUGCCAGCCGCCGCGGUAAUACCGGCGGCUCGAGUGGUGGCCACUAUUAUUGGGCUUAAAGCGUCCGUAGCUGGACCGAUAAGUCUCUUGGGAAAUCCGCCGGCUCAACCGGCGGGCGUCCAAGGGAUACUGUUAGUCUAGGGACCGGGAGAGGUGAGAGGUACUCCGGGGGUAGGAGUGAAAUCCUGUAAUCCCCGGGGGACCACCGAUGGCGAAGGCAUCUCACCAGAACGGCUCCGACAGUGAGGGACGAAAGCUGGGGGAGCGAACCGGAUUAGAUACCCGGGUAGUCCCAGCCGUAAACUAUGCGCGUUAGGUGU
This 623-nucleotide ribosomal RNA is filed under the name uncultured archaeon. RNAcentral's name for it is "bacterial SSU rRNA". It matches the Rfam family "Archaeal small subunit ribosomal RNA", at positions 146 to 774 of the family's 1478-position model. The record is from RNAcentral.